UACGGAGGGUGCAAGCGUUAUCCGGAUUCACUGGGUUUAAAGGGUGCGUAGGCGGGUAAGUAAGUCCGUGGUGAAAUCUCUGAGCUUAACUCAGAAACUGCCGUGGAUACUAUUUGCCUUGAAUAUUGUGGAGGUGAGCGGAAUAUGUCAUGUAGCGGUGAAAUGCUUAGAUAUCUGGAGGAAUACCGGUGGCGAAGGCGGCAUCCUGGACCGACAUUGACGCUGAUGAGCGAAAGCUAGGGGAGCAAACGGG
Molecule: ribosomal RNA, 253 nt
Filed under: uncultured bacterium
Lineage: Bacteria
Description: partial 16S ribosomal RNA
Rfam family: Bacterial small subunit ribosomal RNA
Source: RNAcentral